UACGUAGGGGGCUAGCGUUGUCCGGAAUCAUUGGGCGUAAAGCGCGCGUAGGCGGCCCGGAAAGUCGGAUGUGAAAACCUGGGGCUCAACCCCAGGCGUGCACCCGAUACGCCCGGGCUGGAGGCAGGUAGGGGAGAUCGGAAUUCCUGGUGUAGCGGUGAAAUGCGCAGAUAUCAGGAGGAACACCGGUGGCGAAGGCGGAGCCCUGGGCCUUGCCUGACGCUGAGGCGCGAAAGCUAGGGGAGCGAACAGG
RNAcentral lists this ribosomal RNA (253 nucleotides) under uncultured bacterium. Its description in RNAcentral is "partial 16S ribosomal RNA". It matches the Rfam family "Bacterial small subunit ribosomal RNA", at positions 524 to 776 of the family's 1533-position model. The record is from RNAcentral.